GAAAACAGAGUGAUGGUCGAUAUACAGAUUGGUGAUAGAUAUACAAAGUGGUGAAAGAUAUAAAGAGAGGUGAUAGAUAGACAGAGGGGUGAUAGAUAUACAGAGUUGUGAUAGAUAUACAGAGUGAUGAGAAAUAUACAGAGUGGUGAUAGAUAUAAAGAUUGUUGAUAGAUAUACAGAAUGUUGGUAGAUAUACAGAUAAUUGAUAGAUAUAAAAAGGUAGUGAUAGACAUACAAAUGGGUUUAAGAUAUACAGGGUGGUG
Molecule: long non-coding RNA, 263 nt
Filed under: Mytilus galloprovincialis (Mediterranean mussel)
Lineage: Eukaryota; Metazoa; Mollusca; Bivalvia; Mytilida; Mytilidae
Source: RNAcentral